This 367-nucleotide transfer-messenger RNA is filed under the name uncultured Parendozoicomonas sp. It matches the Rfam family "transfer-messenger RNA". Rfam says of the family: Bacterial tmRNA, also known as 10Sa RNA or SsrA, is named for its dual tRNA and mRNA-like properties. Lineage: Bacteria; Pseudomonadati; Pseudomonadota; Gammaproteobacteria; Oceanospirillales; Endozoicomonadaceae. The record is from RNAcentral.
GGGGACGAUUAGGAUUCGACGACGGUGACGAAACCCGAGGUGCAUGCCGAGUGCGUAGCAGCUCUCGUUAAUAAAAUUGCUACAAACUUAUUAGUUGCCAACGACGACAACUACUCCGUAGCACUCGCCGCUUAAAACCGGCUCGCUACCAGUUAGACUGACUUUUCUGUUGGUUGGAUCUAACUGUCAUCUUAAACAGAAUCGCUGCCUCCUGUGGGCCUGACACAGGACAGCUAGACUCUACCAGAAUCGCUUUGAAAAUCUCGCCUGCUGGAUCCUUCAAAGUUAAAAUAAAAGCAGAUCUAAGCAUGUAGAGCCAAAGGUAGAGUGCCGGCGGACGGGGGUUCAAAUCCCCCCGUCUCCACCA